RNAcentral lists this ribosomal RNA (855 nucleotides) under uncultured bacterium. Its description in RNAcentral is "bacterial SSU rRNA". It matches the Rfam family "Bacterial small subunit ribosomal RNA", at positions 28 to 878 of the family's 1533-position model. The record is from RNAcentral.
AUUGAACGCUGGCGGCAGGCCUAACACAUGCAAGUCGAGCGGAUGAAGGGAGCUUGCUCCCUGAUUUAGCGGCGGACGGGUGAGUAAUGCCUAGGAAUCUGCCUGGUAGUGGGGGAUAACGUUCCGAAAGGAACGCUAAUACCGCAUACGUCCUACGGGAGAAAGCAGGGGACCUUCGGGCCUUGCGCUAUCAGAUGAGCCUAGGUCGGAUUAGCUAGUUGGUGAGGUAAUGGCUCACCAAGGCGACGAUCCGUAACUGGUCUGAGAGGAUGAUCAGUCACACUGGAACUGAGACACGGUCCAGACUCCUACGGGAGGCAGCAGUGGGGAAUAUUGGACAAUGGGCGAAAGCCUGAUCCAGCCAUGCCGCGUGUGUGAAGAAGGUCUUCGGAUUGUAAAGCACUUUAAGUUGGGAGGAAGGGUAGUAAGCUAAUACCUUGCUGUUUUGACGUUACCGACAGAAUAAGCACCGGCUAACUUCGUGCCAGCAGCCGCGGUAAUACGAAGGGUGCAAGCGUUAAUCGGAAUUACUGGGCGUAAAGCGCGCGUAGGUGGUUCGUUAAGUUGGAUGUGAAAGCCCCGGGCUCAACCUGGGAACUGCAUCCAAAACUGGCGAGCUAGAGUACGGUAGAGGGUGGUGGAAUUUCCUGUGUAGCGGUGAAAUGCGUAGAUAUAGGAAGGAACACCAGUGGCGAAGGCGACCACCUGGACUGAUACUGACACUGAGGUGCGAAAGCGUGGGGAGCAAACAGGAUUAGAUACCCUGGUAGUCCACGCCGUAAACGAUGUCAACUAGCCGUUGGGUUCCUUGAGAACUUAGUGGCGCAGCUAACGCAUUAAGUUGACCGCCUGGGG